This 651-nucleotide ribosomal RNA is filed under the name Mantophryne cf. lateralis LAO-2013. Its description in RNAcentral is "partial 12S ribosomal RNA". The stretch from base 1 to 460 matches the Rfam family "Bacterial small subunit ribosomal RNA", at positions 877 to 1533 of the family's 1533-position model. The record is from RNAcentral. Lineage: Eukaryota; Metazoa; Chordata; Amphibia; Anura; Microhylidae.
AAAUUACGAGCCCAAGCUUAAAACCCAAAGGACUUGACGGUGUUCCACCCACCUAGAGGAGCCUGUUCUAUAAUCGAUUUUCCCCGAUCAACCCCACCAUCUUUUGAAUAUUCAGCCUGUAUACCUCCGUCGCAAGCUUACCUUAUGAACGCACUUAGUGAGCCUAAUGAUUUAACACCCACACGUCAGGUCAAGGUGCAGCCCACAAGAUGGAGAGAAAUGGGCUACAAUUUCUACCCUAGAACAAACGAAAGACUGCAUGAAACACAGUUACUGAAGGCGGAUUUAGCAGUAAAAAGAAAAUAGAGAGUUCUUUUUAAUCAGGCACUGGAACGCGUACACACCGCCCGUCACCCUCUUCAAACACAAAUACUAUGUUAUUAACACUAUACACCCGCACAGAAGAGGUAAGUCGUAACACGGUAAGCGUACUGGAAAGUGCGCUUGGAACAACAAAAUGUAACUUAAUAAAAGUAUCUUGCUUACACCAAGAAUAUGUCUGUGAAACCCUGACCAUCUUGAGCUUAAAACUCAGCCCCACUAAACCCCAUGAAACCACAUUCUUACCCCCCCCCGCAAAUUAAAACAUUUUUUCACUUAGUAAAGGCGAUUAAAAAGUACUUGGGAGCCCCAAUAUUAGUACCGCAAGGG